This is a long non-coding RNA of Cercocebus atys (sooty mangabey), 2219 nucleotides long. RefSeq lists it as uncharacterized. The record is from RefSeq and is a predicted model, not a curated record. The transcript has 3 exons. Lineage: Eukaryota; Metazoa; Chordata; Mammalia; Primates; Cercopithecidae.
UGCACUCUAGCCUGGAUGACAGCAAGACUCUAUCUCAAAAAACAAACAAACAAAACCAAAACAGUAUCUCAUGUUUCUUAUUGGCUGUGACCAAGUAACUUCAUUGCUUUCAACCUUGAUCUGCUCACCUGUAAAACUGAGACCUUAUAAUUUGUUGUGAGAUUUAAAAGAGAAACAUGUUCAUUUCCUUCCUCUUUGGGGCUCAGAAGGAAUCCGAUGGGCGUCUUGCAGCUCCGAGCCUGAUGAAGAAUUGUAGCUGCUGUGCCUCAAGACAGAUAAGCACAGGUCGUCCCAGUAGGGAUGCCACCUUGGGGACUGUGAACCUCCGCUGAGGCCAGGCCAUGCCCUGUGUCUGUAUCCCGAACUGCGGGAUUUCUCUGAUCCGCCAGGGAAAGGCCUGCCACCUCGUGGCCGCUUCAGGAACUGCUCCAAAGGCAGUCUGCUCUUGGGAACCUACCUGCUUAGGUAGCUCGCUGAGGUCUGGAACCGCAGCACACUGCAAGUUAUCUUCACGUGGAGGUGAAGCUGCCUGUAUGGAAGACUCUUGGAUCAGUCGUCUGAGCACAUGUCCAGCAAUGGGCAUGAGUGGCCUAGCCAGGGACUUGGGGUGCCAGAAGAGCCGACUGUACAGCACGUGGUGCCCCUAGCAAGGAUUGGGUGGUGUUUAAAAAGAAAAAAGGUCGUGCAGAUGGUCUGACAGCCUGUCGACCAUGGGCGUGGUGCUCAUAGCAGCUGGGCACUGCCGGGGUACCAGGCUGUGUGCUGGGUGCUUCAAAGAUGUCCUCUUGUGGAUCAGCCCAUCUGUGGCGAGGAGGGGACCGGGCUCAGCCAGGUUAGAUGUGACUUGCACAAGGUCAUGUGGGUGAAAGGAAGGCAGAACUCUUGUGUAUUUCUCCUGACUGAUCCCAGAUUUUGCGUCAGGACUGAAGACAGAACCCACAUGUGUCCAGCACUGGGUGAUUGCUGCCAUGAGCUGCAUUGCUGUGAUCCCUCGGUGAGGGCAUGGAUUUUCAUCCUUGUAUUCAACUUUGAAAGAAGCAAAUGUAGAAAGAUACAAAUAUGAUGGGCGUGGCAGACAGAAUUUUAAAGGUGGGCCCACUGACUCGUACCCGUGGCUGUUCAGUUAAACGCUAGCCUAGAUGCUGCUGUGCAGGGACUUUGACGAAGGAAUGAAAGUCCCAAGCCAUCUGACUUUGAGAUCAGAGAUGAUCUGGUGGGCUUGACCUCCUGAGCUUAAUGAAAGCAGGGAGCUUUUCCAGCUGUCAGCAGAGAGGAAGGUGUGAGAAAGACUGGAAUUAACAUUGCUGGUUUGAAGGAGGAAGGGGUUGUGUGAGAAGGUGUGUGGGUGACUUAUAGGAGCAGGGAGUGGCCCCCAGCCAUGGAAUGAGGACCCCAGGCCUGCAGCCACCAGGAGCUGGACUUUCGGGGCCACCUGAAUGCACCUGGAAGCGGAUUCUCCCCCAGAGCCUCCAGGUAAGAGCUCAUCCCUGCCACCACCUUGAUUUAGACCUUGUAAGACCUGGAGUGGAGAACCCAGUUUAAAUCACUUAAGCCAUAUGAUAACCCUGUGGGGCAGGCAUUACUUUUUUUCCCUCCCCAUUUUAUCUUUAUUUUGGACUUUGGUACCCAGAAUAGAUUCAUCAUAAACCUUUGGUUCCCAUUCUCACCUUCAUGCCUGCCCUGUUCUUGGCCUGCUUCUGUUUGUUUCGUUGCUACAAUCAACGUCCCUGGACCCAUCACGCAGAAGAAGCCGAGGCUCCCAGGUUAAGAGACUUGCCUGGAAAAGCGUUAACUGACAGCUUGGCAGCAGAGCCACCGCUCCUUCCCCCUCGCGUGCUGGUUCCAAACCGAAAAUGAUGUUCUGGGGCUUUGUUACGGCUGCACAGGAGGACCGGUGCCCCUCCUGCCUGGCUUGCCCAUCCCAGGAACAGGGAGCUCCUUGCCUGACCGGGAGGCCUCUGUGGACAACUCCGAGAGCAAGCUCUCCCCGAGACUGAGCCAACCACCCCUCCCACAGCUCUGGCCACUGGCCCUUGUUCUGCCCCUGAUCCCACCUGAAUGGAGGGCGUCAUGCCAGGGUCCUCAACAAGCGUGAGUCACGGCCUGCACAGCCACCCUGGACCCCACCGUGGGAAGCUGUCAGAGGCUGCGGAUCAGAGGAGGAGGGAGAAUUUUGAGCAGAGUUGGAGUCUUCCUCUGUCACCCAGGCCAGAGUGCAG